GGGCCCGUAGUCCAGUGGUUAAGACGCUACCCUUACAAGGUAGAGAUCGAGGGUUCGAAUCCCUCCGGGCCCA
This 73-nucleotide transfer RNA is filed under the name Hadesarchaea archaeon. RNAcentral's name for it is "tRNA-Val". It matches the Rfam family "tRNA". Rfam says of the family: Transfer RNA (tRNA) molecules are approximately 80 nucleotides in length. Their secondary structure includes four short double-helical elements and three loops (D, anti-codon, and T loops). The record is from RNAcentral. RNAcentral also lists the same sequence under 1 other name. Lineage: Archaea; Methanobacteriati; Hadarchaeota (SeqCode); Hadarchaeia (SeqCode).